UAGCCUGUAUGGGCUAGUGGGUAUUGCUCCUCUCCUUGACAUGGUGGGGGUCGUUGGUUCGAGUCCAAUCGCGCCUACCA
RNAcentral lists this transfer RNA (80 nucleotides) under Pseudomonas amygdali pv. mori str. 301020. Its description in RNAcentral is "tRNA-OTHER". The record is from RNAcentral. Lineage: Bacteria; Pseudomonadati; Pseudomonadota; Gammaproteobacteria; Pseudomonadales; Pseudomonadaceae.